GCAGCCCAGCCCCACUGUGGGGACCAGGGGGCUGUGAGCACCAUGGCCUGGACUCCUCUCCUGCUCGUGUUCCUCUCUCUCUGCACAGGGUGCCUCUCCCAGCCUGUGCUGACUCAGCCUCCCUCCCUCUCUGCAUCUCCUGGAGCAUCAGCCAGACUCACCUGCACCCUGAGCAGUGGGUACAUUGUUGGCGGCUACCACAUAUUCUGGUACCAGCAGAAGCCAGGGAGCUCUCCCCGGUACCUCCUGAGGUUCAAGUCAGACUCUGAUAAGUACCAGGGCUCUGGGGUCCCCAGCCGCUUCUCUGGAUCCAAAGACGCCUCGGCCAAUGCAGGGCUCCUGCUCAUCUCUGCGCUGCAGCCCGAGGACGAGGCUGACUAUUACUGUGCUACAGUUCACGGCAACACUGGUACUUACACUGUGCUCCAGACCCACAGGGAAGUGAGACUAAAAGCUCCCCUGUGCCCUCCCCCUGAGACAGUCACUGCUGCUCUGCCUGGACCACGUCUAACUCAGGGUGACCUUCUGUUGUCACUUCUGAAUUUCCUGAGAAUGACAAAUCUGACCCUGUCAUAUGCUUUUCCUCCCCUCAAAUCUGAGACUGACCCAUUGCUCUGAUACCUCAGCCGGCUCAUGUUUUCACAGACAAAACUUCCAUGCUCAGAGAUAAAAAUCUCCAAGUGGGGACUUCCCUGGUGGUGCAGUGGUUGAGAAUCUGCCUGCCAAUGCAGGGGACACGGGUUUGAGUCCUGUUCUUGGUAGA
Non-coding RNA from Aethalodelphis obliquidens (Pacific white-sided dolphin), 763 nucleotides. NCBI's taxonomy places the organism in Eukaryota, Metazoa, Chordata, Mammalia, Artiodactyla, Delphinidae. The record is from the annotation of a RefSeq genome assembly.